CCAGACUCCUACGGGAGGCAGCAGUGGGGAAUAUUGCACAAUGGGGGAAACCCUGAUGCAGCAACGCCGCGUGAGUGAAGAAGUAUUUCGGUAUGUAAAGCUCUAUCAGCAGGGAAGAAGAUGACGGUACCUGAGUAAGAAGCCCCGGCUAACUACGUGCCAGCAGCCGCGGUAAUACGUAGGGGGCAAGCGUUAUCCGGUUUUACUGGGUGUAAAGGGAGCGUAGACGGCUGCGCAAGUCUGAAGUGAAAGCCCGGGGCUCAACCCCGGGACUGCUUUGGAAACUGUGUAGCUAGAGUGCUGGAGAGGCAAGCGGAAUUCCUAGUGUAGCGGUGAAAUGCGUAGAUAUUAGGAAGAACACCAGUGGCGAAGGCGGCUUACUGGACAGUAACUGACGUUGAGGCUCGAAAGCGUGGGGAGCAAACAGAAUUAGAUACCCCGGUA
This 444-nucleotide ribosomal RNA is filed under the name uncultured bacterium. RNAcentral describes it as "bacterial SSU rRNA". It matches the Rfam family "Bacterial small subunit ribosomal RNA", at positions 331 to 792 of the family's 1533-position model. The record is from RNAcentral.